UUCCGUUACAGUUGCAAACAAUAAGACGAUUAUCAUUCUUAUCAAAAUAAAUCCCCCUUGGUGCGUCGAUCCCAUCUGCACUUGUAAGAAUGACCCUGCAUCGUUUACCAUCAGGUGAUACCGCGACGACAUUGUUUGACCAUUCGCCAGCAACAUAUACAUUUCUGUGUUCAUCAACGGUCACUCCAUGUAAUCCUUUGAGUUUUUCAACCUUCAAUUCCCAGAUGAUAGCACCAUUUAAUUCACAGCAAUACAAUAUGUCGCGAUCUGUACAAAAUAACCUAUCAUCACUGACAGUCACGUAGGUAACAUCGCAUGAUGGUAAACGAAAUUU
Molecule: long non-coding RNA, 334 nt
Filed under: Mytilus galloprovincialis (Mediterranean mussel)
Lineage: Eukaryota; Metazoa; Mollusca; Bivalvia; Mytilida; Mytilidae
Source: RNAcentral